RNAcentral lists this ribosomal RNA (254 nucleotides) under uncultured bacterium. RNAcentral describes it as "partial 16S ribosomal RNA". It matches the Rfam family "Bacterial small subunit ribosomal RNA", at positions 524 to 776 of the family's 1533-position model. The record is from RNAcentral.
UACGAGGGGGGGCGAGCGUUGUUCGGAAUUAUUGGGCGUAAAGGGUGCGUAGGCGGUUUUGGUAAGUCUUGUGUGAAAUCUCCGGGCUCAACUCGGACCUGCACGAGAAACUGCCGGGCUUGAGUGUGGGAGAGGUGAGUGGAAUUCCUGGUGUAGCGGUGAAAUGCGUAGAUAUCAGGAGGAACACCUGUGGCGAAAGCGGCUCACUGGACCAUAACUGACGCUGAUGCACGAAAGCUAGGGGAGCAAACAGG